AUACCUUUCUAGGCCUUUUGGCUAAGAUCAAGUGCAGGAUAUGUUUUUAUCAUAGCAGUUGUUGCUUGGAAUAGGCAUUGGUUCGUAUACACCGUGUUUUUGGAGAACAGUAGGUAGAUUUGAUUUCUGGGCUGUAAGUUAUAGCAGAACUCGACCCGGAUAAUUGGUCGAAACCUUUACUAACCAUU
Small nuclear RNA from Cucurbita maxima (winter squash), 188 nucleotides. RefSeq annotates it as U2 spliceosomal RNA. The record is from RefSeq and is a predicted model, not a curated record. NCBI's taxonomy places the organism in Eukaryota, Viridiplantae, Streptophyta, Magnoliopsida, Cucurbitales, Cucurbitaceae. The transcript has a single exon.